This is a non-coding RNA of Pelobates cultripes (western spadefoot toad), 213 nucleotides long. The record is from the annotation of a GenBank genome assembly. Lineage: Eukaryota; Metazoa; Chordata; Amphibia; Anura; Pelobatidae.
GGUCCAGCUAGGAUUAACCCUUUCUUCUAUAAACAUAGCAGUUUCAGAGAAACUGCGAUGUUUAUAAUAGGGUUAAUCCAGCCUCUAGUGGCUGUCUCAUUGACAGCCGCUAGAGGCGCUUCCGCGCUUCUCACUGUGAUUUUCACAGUGAGAAGACGCCAGCAUCCAUAGGAAAGCAUUGAGAAUGCUUUCCUAUGGACUGGCUGAAUGCGC